UUGAACGCUGGCGGCAGGCUUAACACCUGCCAGUCGAGCGGUAGCACAGGGGAGCUUGCUCCCUGGGUGACGAGCGGCGGCCGGGUGAGUAAUGUCUGGGAAACUGCCUGAUGGAGGGGGAUAACUACUGGAAACGGUAGCUAAUACCGCAUAACGUCGCAAGACCAAAGAGGGGGACCUUCGGGCCUCUUGCCAUCAGAUGUGCCCAGAUGGGAUUAGCUAGUAGGUGGGGUAAUGGCUCACCUAGGCGACGAUCCCUAGCUGGUCUGAGAGGAUGACCAGCCACACUGGAACUGAGACACGGUCCAGACUCCUACGGGAGGCAGCAGUGGGGAAUAUUGCACAAUGGGCGCAAGCCUGAUGCAGCCAUGCCGCGUGUGUGAAGAAGGCCUUCGGGUUGUAAAGCACUUUCAGCGAGGAGGAAGGUGGUGAGCUUAAUACGUUCAUCAAUUGACGUUACUCGCAGAAGAAGCACCGGCUAACUCCGUG
RNAcentral lists this ribosomal RNA (489 nucleotides) under uncultured bacterium. Its description in RNAcentral is "partial 16S ribosomal RNA". It matches the Rfam family "Bacterial small subunit ribosomal RNA", at positions 30 to 507 of the family's 1533-position model. The record is from RNAcentral.